Molecule: ribosomal RNA, 1505 nt
Filed under: Bacillus thuringiensis serovar londrina
Lineage: Bacteria; Bacillati; Bacillota; Bacilli; Caryophanales; Bacillaceae
Description: bacterial LSU rRNA
Rfam family: Bacterial large subunit ribosomal RNA
Source: RNAcentral
GUUUGGUUAAGUUAGAAAGGGCGCACGGUGGAUGCCUUGACACUAGGAGUCGAUGAAGGACGGGACUAACGCCGAUAUGCUUCGGGGAGCUGUAAGUAAGCUUUGAUCCGAAGAUUUCCGAAUGGGGAAACCCACCAUACGUAAUGGUAUGGUAUCCUUAUCUGAAUACAUAGGGUAAGGAAGACAGACCCAGGGAACUGAAACAUCUAAGUACCUGGAGGAAGAGAAAGCAAAUGCGAUUUCCUGAGUAGCGGCGAGCGAAACGGAACAUAGCCCAAACCAAGAGGCUUGCCUCUUGGGGUUGUAGGACAUUCUAUACGGAGUUACAAAGGAACGAGGUAGACGAAGCGACCUGGAAAGGUCCGUCGUAGAGGGUAACAACCCCGUAGUCGAAACUUCGUUCUCUCUUGAAUGUAUCCUGAGUACGGCGGAACACGUGAAAUUCCGUCGGAAUCUGGGAGGACCAUCUCCCAAGGCUAAAUACUCCCUAGUGAUCGAUAGUGAACCAGUACCGUGAGGGAAAGGUGAAAAGCACCCCGGAAGGGGAGUGAAAGAGAUCCUGAAACCGUGUGCCUACAAAUAGUCAGAGCCCGUUAACGGGUGAUGGCGUGCCUUUUGUAGAAUGAACCGGCGAGUUACGAUCCCGUGCGAGGUUAAGCUGAAGAGGCGGAGCCGCAGCGAAAGCGAGUCUGAAUAGGGCGUUUAGUACGUGGUCGUAGACCCGAAACCAGGUGAUCUACCCAUGUCCAGGGUGAAGUUCAGGUAACACUGAAUGGAGGCCCGAACCCACGCACGUUGAAAAGUGCGGGGAUGAGGUGUGGGUAGCGGAGAAAUUCCAAUCGAACCUGGAGAUAGCUGGUUCUCCCCGAAAUAGCUUUAGGGCUAGCCUUAAGUGUAAGAGUCUUGGAGGUAGAGCACUGAUUGGACUAGGGGUCCUCAUCGGAUUACCGAAUUCAGUCAAACUCCGAAUGCCAAUGACUUAUCCUUAGGAGUCAGACUGCGAGUGAUAAGAUCCGUAGUCAAAAGGGAAACAGCCCAGACCGCCAGCUAAGGUCCCAAAGUGUGUAUUAAGUGGAAAAGGAUGUGGAGUUGCUUAGACAACUAGGAUGUUGGCUUAGAAGCAGCCACCAUUUAAAGAGUGCGUAAUAGCUCACUAGUCGAGUGACUCUGCGCCGAAAAUGUACCGGGGCUAAAUACACCACCGAAGCUGCGGAUUGAUACCGAAUGGUAUCAGUGGUAGGGGAGCGUUCUAAGGACAGUGAAGUCAGACCGUAAGGACUGGUGGAGUGCUUAGAAGUGAGAAUGCCGGUAUGAGUAGCGAAAGACGGGUGAGAAUCCCGUCCACCGAAUGCCUAAGGUUUCCUGAGGAAGGCUCGUCCGCUCAGGGUUAGUCAGGACCUAAGCCGAGGCCGACAGGCGUAGGCGAUGGACAACAGGUUGAUAUUCCUGUACCACCUCUUUAUCGUUUGAGCAAUGGAGGGACGCAGAAGGAUAGAAGAAGCGUG